This is a long non-coding RNA of Myotis lucifugus (little brown bat), 523 nucleotides long. RefSeq lists it as uncharacterized. The transcript is spliced from 2 exons. Lineage: Eukaryota; Metazoa; Chordata; Mammalia; Chiroptera; Vespertilionidae. The record is from RefSeq and is a predicted model, not a curated record.
GCCCUGACUAGGAAUCAAACUAUGACCUCCUAGUUCAUAGGUCAACGCUCAACCACUGAGCCAUGCCAGCUAGGCUAAAUGCUCCCUUCCUGAUACUACCUAUUCCCUUCCCUUGUCAAUGUGAGAAAACUUUACAGUAUUUCUAAAACAUGAGUUCACACGAACUAUUUUUAAAGAACCUUGAUCAAUAAUUUGCAUUCUAUACAAAAAAUAAACUCCAAAUGAGAUUCAGACCUAACUGUAGAACAUAGAACUAUAACAAUUCAUUAAAAAACAUACAAGAAAGACGUUGUGACCUUGGGAUAGACAAAGAUUUUUUAGGUAUAUUACCAGAAUAUGAGCAAUAAAAGAAAAAUGGCAAGUUGGGUUUCAUCAAAAUUGAAAACUUCAAAUGAUGCUGGUAACAGAAUGAAAAGAUAAGCCACACAUUGGGACAAAAUAUUUGUAAAUCACAUAUCUUGUAUAUAAUAUACAAAGACUAUACAGAGAGCCCAAAACUCAAGGAAAUAACUGGAUUAAAAAG